GAUGAGUUCUCCCUGAGACUUAAAGUCUCCUAAAGGAACGUUGAAGACGACGACGUUGAUAGGUCGGGUGUGUAAGCGCAGCGAUGCGUUGAGCUAACCGAUACUAAUGAACCGUGAGGCUUAACCUUACAACGCCGAAG
RNAcentral lists this ribosomal RNA (140 nucleotides) under Enterobacter cloacae subsp. cloacae. RNAcentral's name for it is "partial 23S ribosomal RNA". It matches the Rfam family "Bacterial large subunit ribosomal RNA", at positions 2803 to 2925 of the family's 2925-position model. The record is from RNAcentral. Lineage: Bacteria; Pseudomonadati; Pseudomonadota; Gammaproteobacteria; Enterobacterales; Enterobacteriaceae.